GUUUAAAUGGGAAGGUGGCUUCAACCAGGACACAUGUAGCAGUGUGUAGCUGUGGUGACAGAUUAAAAAUUAGCUAUUGUGAAGUUUCCCGCAUGGACAGGAGCUUGGAAUUAAUGAUUACCAUAAAUUAACUAACUGGAAAGGGGUUGAACAGCAAGUGGUAGAGUUCAGCUUGACCCACUGGUGAGCUGACCCUUUUCCCAUUCAUUUAAUGCUCAAAUCUCAUUUCUGGCCAGAGCAGCUCCUGGGUGCAGCUCUGGGUGGCUGUGCCAGCCCAGCUGGGCUGCCUGGCCACUGUGGAGGAUGAGAAGAGGUUCAGUCCCUGCUCCCUGGGUCAGACCUAGCAGAGAGAGCUGCUCCAGCAGAUGGACAAUGCUCCAGCCCCAGAUCUUUGGAAAAUAUACAGGAGGCAAGGCUGAGUGUUAUCAGGCUCCAGCUGCUCUCUUUGCAAGGAGUGUCUUCAGCAGGAAUUCACCACCUUCCCUUCCAAAAUCCUUUCAGGAACAUCACAGCUCCUGGUGUUGCACAGAGUUGCUGGUAAUCCUGUUAACCUUGGGGUUAAUUAAGCAAACAGAGACCCUUCAUUAGGAGGACUGGCACUAAUUGCAUGUCUGAGAGGGUGAGUUUUGCAUGGACUGCUGGCUGGUGGAGCAGAAGCCACUGCUGACUUCAGCAAGGGGGCUGGGGAGUUAAUGGGGGCCUGCUUGGGAAAGGAGGUCAGGAAAACCUGUUUCCUCAGCACUGCUGGGCCAGCUGGUGUUUGCUGGAGAGGGGGAUGUGCACGGGAGGAUGUGGGGCAGUGGCACUGUCCUGCAGAGCUCCCAUGCAAGGCACAGAGGGUUGAGUUGCUGGCACCUGGCUGUUCAGCUGCCAUUAGUUUCCAACCUAAAAAUGCAAAUCUAUAUUGGUAUGACCUGGUAAGCAGCUCUGGACAAGAAGCCUCAGUCUGCAGCUGAGCUUAGCACUCCAAGCUUGGAAGAGCAGCUUAAAAUCGACAGAGAGCUCUUUGUUUGCUGUGUGCAGUUUAGAAAUUAGGCAAUACUUAGAAGCAAUACUUAGGAGCAAAUAUUGGUUCAAACAACACCAGCUCCAACUCUCCAGUGGCUAGUUUGGCUCAGCCCAGGUAGAAAACAACAUUUUGCAACAUAGUCAAAACCUGAUACUGAAUAUUUCUCCUAACCAGCAGGGAAACAGGUUUGUGGCAUUUCCUUAAAAAUAAACUAAGCCCAGUGACUCUGCA
This 1240-nucleotide long non-coding RNA is filed under the name Serinus canaria (Common canary). RNAcentral describes it as "lncRNA (ENSSCAG00000005878.1)". Lineage: Eukaryota; Metazoa; Chordata; Aves; Passeriformes; Fringillidae. The record is from RNAcentral.